GUAGUGCGUGGCCGAAUUACGCUGUCCGCUUUGUAAGCGGAUGAUUCUGGGUUCGAUUCCCAUCUGCUGCA
Molecule: transfer RNA, 71 nt
Filed under: Culex quinquefasciatus (southern house mosquito)
Lineage: Eukaryota; Metazoa; Arthropoda; Insecta; Diptera; Culicidae
Description: tRNA-Thr
Source: RNAcentral